Non-coding RNA from Danio rerio (zebrafish), 1577 nucleotides. The record is from RefSeq and is a predicted model, not a curated record. Lineage: Eukaryota; Metazoa; Chordata; Actinopteri; Cypriniformes; Danionidae.
GAGCCGAUCAUGAGUGCGAUAAAGGUCGCUCGCAGGUCACCAAACAUAUUGGGCAACUGGAAGAAAACAUGGGAAGAGCAGACAUGGAGAGAUGGCCAACAAUUAUGGGCUGACGAAAGCAUAACAAAUCUCCAAUGAAAGCCGUUUCAGUUCAGAGCCACUGACUAUAACGAGAGAAUGAGGAUGGCCACUGAAAGAAAGAAAGAAAGAAAAAGAGAAAGAAAGAAAGAGAGAAAGAACAUGUGACAGAGAACCAGAAAACGUUAAGUCCAUCAGCACAAUUUAGAGGCGUCAAAAGGUUUGUGCACACUUAAUCCACCCUUUUUUCAUAUACAUUACUUUCUUUCGGUUUCUCAGUCAAUAAAAGAGAAAUAACUAGGGCAGUAACAGGAAUGAUCCGUCCAGUCUAAACCGGCUGAAGCCUGACUCUAAUUGGAGCCUGGACCAGGGCGGCCUGCCUACAGUUAUGCCUUGUUCCUGUGACAACAAGUGGAUGAGCAACAGCAAGUGUCCUGUUACGUAACAAUGCGUUUGAAAGGCUGUGAUCAGCAGCUUCGUAAUGGAAGAGUUGUGCUGUAGACUCAACGUGGAAUCCUGUUAAAACUGGUGUGAAAAUCUUCUCCAAAAUCGACUGUAAUGUGCAGUUUUGGGCACGUUCAUUUAAAGGAGGAAUUAGUUAUAGUUACUAGUUACUUAUUACAAAUAGUAACUGAGUUAGUAACUACAUUUCAUAUUUAUAAAAGUGAAAAUAACUAUUUCGUUACCUUAAAAAAAAUUUGUCAAAUGACUAUAAAAUAAAUUAAAAACAUUGGACACUAAUUUACACUAUUUUAAUGUUGUUGUGGACAAUAUGAGAGACACGGCAGCAUGUCCUCAACUAUAUAGAUAGUAUUUAGUUUAAUUCUGUCUGAGUAAUAAGUGUUUGUGGUGGGGAAAAAUUAAGUUUUAUUUGCUUUGACGUAGUGGCUUCAUCUCCUUCUUUGGUAGCAGAGCUCACAUUAUCACCUGCGUAGCCACAAAUUUUGUGGCGGCACGUGACGACGAGGUGCUUCAUUAAAUUUGAAUUACUCAUCACUGAUGCAAAGACUCUCUUUUUACUGGGCAUAAGUUGUACGAUACAUACAUGACUGUUCAUGGUUGAGAGAGACACGGCUUGCAUGAAAAAAAGCUUUAGUUUUCUCAAUUAUAGUAACGCACAUUUUUUAUUGUUAGUAAUGGUAACAGCAUUGUAAUGGGGGAAACAGUAAUUCAAUUGAUUACUCGUUACUAAAAAAAGUUUUGCCGUUAGUAAUGCGUUUAUUUAUAAAGCCAUUAUUCCCAUCACUGGUUAUGUGCCACUGUAACACAACAAAGUACACUACCAUUAUUAUCAACAAUGGUGUGGAAUGGUUUGUUUAUGUGAAAAUAUCAGAGAAUGAUCCCAUGUGACACUUGGAAUAUUUUAAGGGCUUUUGGAUUUGACUGUAUUAUCUAACAACAAUCCUGACUGUUUUUGUCUAAUUGUGCUUUCAUGAAUCUCUCUUAUUAAUCAGAAUAUCUGCUUGCACUUUAUUUUUGUCUUUGUUACUUUUUGUAAC